This 453-nucleotide ribosomal RNA is filed under the name uncultured bacterium. RNAcentral's name for it is "partial 16S ribosomal RNA". It matches the Rfam family "Bacterial small subunit ribosomal RNA", at positions 355 to 824 of the family's 1533-position model. The record is from RNAcentral.
UGGGGAAUAUUGGACAAUGGGGGCAACCCUGAUCCAGCCAUGCCGCGUGAGUGAUGAAGGUCUUCGGGUUGUAAAGCUCUUUUGGCGGGGGACGAUGAUGACGGUACCCGCAGAAUAAGCCCCGGCUAACUUCGUGCCAGCAGCCGCGGUAAGACGAAGGGGGCUAGCGUUGUUCGGAAUUACUGGGCGUAAAGCGAGUGUAGGCGGUUGCCGUAGUCAGGUGUGAAAGCCUUGAGCUCAACUCAAGAAAUGCACUUGAUACUGGGUGACUAGAGGACCGGAGAGGAUAGUGGAAUUCCCAGUGUAGUGGUGAAAUACGUAGAGAUUGGGAAGAACACCAGUGGCGAAGGCGGCUAUCUGGACGGUUACUGACGCUAAGACUCGAAAGCGUGGGGNGCAAACAGGAUUAGAUACCCUGGUAGUCCACGCCGUAAACGAUGUCAACUAGUUGUU